This 254-nucleotide ribosomal RNA is filed under the name uncultured bacterium. RNAcentral describes it as "partial 16S ribosomal RNA". It matches the Rfam family "Bacterial small subunit ribosomal RNA", at positions 524 to 776 of the family's 1533-position model. The record is from RNAcentral.
UACGGGGGGGGGCAAGCGUUGUUCGGAAUUACUGGGCGUAAAGGGCGCGUAGGCGGUUCGUCAAGUCCUGUGUGAAAUCCCCCGGCUCAACUGGGGAACUGCACAGGAAACUAGCGGGCUUGAGUUCGGGAGAGGGAAGCGGAAUUCCGGGUGUAGCGGUGAAAUGCGUAGAUAUCCGGAGGAACACCGGUGGCGAAGGCGGCUUCCUGGACCGACACUGACGCUGAGGCGCGAAAGCUAGGGGAGCAAACGGG